RNAcentral lists this ribosomal RNA (236 nucleotides) under uncultured bacterium. RNAcentral describes it as "partial 16S ribosomal RNA". It matches the Rfam family "Archaeal small subunit ribosomal RNA", at positions 474 to 710 of the family's 1478-position model. The record is from RNAcentral.
UACCAGCACCCCGAGUGGUCGGGACGAUUAUUGGCCUAAAGCAUCCGUAGCCGGCCUUACAAGUCCUCCGUUAAAUCCAGCUGCUUAACAGAUGGGCUGCGGAGGAUACUAUAAGACUAGGAGGCAGGAGAGGCAAGCGGUACUCAGUGGGUAGGGGUAAAAUCCGUUGAUCCAUUGAAGACCACCAGUGGCGAAGGCGGCUUGCCAGAAUGCGCUCGACGGUGAGGGAGUGAAAG